Molecule: ribosomal RNA, 449 nt
Filed under: uncultured bacterium
Lineage: Bacteria
Description: bacterial SSU rRNA
Rfam family: Bacterial small subunit ribosomal RNA
Source: RNAcentral
CUCUGUGACUCCUACGGGAGGCAGCAGUGGGGAAUAUUGCACAAUGGGCGCAAGCCUGAUGCAGCAACGCCGCGUGAGCGAUGAAGGCCUUCGGGUCGUAAAGCUCUGUCCUCAAGGAAGAAUAAAUGACGGUACUUGAGGAGGAAGCCCCGGCUAACUACGUGCCAGCAGCCGCGGUAAUACGUAGGGGGCAAGCGUUAUCCGGAAUCACUGGGCGUAAAGGGUGCGUAGGCGGUUUUUCAAGUCAGAAGUGAAAGGCUAUGGCUCAACCAUAGUAAGCUUUUGAAACUGUUAAACUUGAGUGCAGGAGAGGAAAGUGGAAUUCCUAGUGUAGAGGUGAAAUUCGUAGAUAUUAGGAGGAACACCAGUGGCGAAGGCGACUUACUGGACUGUAACUGACGCUGAUGCACGAAAGCGUGGGUAGCGAACAGGAUUAGAUACCCUGGUAG